UACGGAGGGUGCAAGCGUUAUCCGGAUUUACUGGGUUUAAAGGGUGCGUAGGUGGGUAGGUAAGUCAGUGGUGAAAUCUUCGAGCUUAACUCGGAAACUGCCAUUGAUACUAUUUAUCUUGAAUACUUUGGAGGUAAGCGGAAUAUGUCAUGUAGCGGUGAAAUGCUUAGAAUAUGACAUAGAACACCAAUUGCGAAGGCAGCUUACUACACAGUUAUUGACACUGAGGCACGAAAGCGUGGGGAUCAAACAGG
Molecule: ribosomal RNA, 254 nt
Filed under: uncultured bacterium
Lineage: Bacteria
Description: partial 16S ribosomal RNA
Rfam family: Bacterial small subunit ribosomal RNA
Source: RNAcentral